Molecule: ribosomal RNA, 1983 nt
Filed under: Triticum aestivum (bread wheat)
Lineage: Eukaryota; Viridiplantae; Streptophyta; Magnoliopsida; Poales; Poaceae
Description: partial small subunit ribosomal RNA
Source: RNAcentral
AUGGCGAGGCUGCUCGUGCUCCGCUCGGCGCCGUACCACCGGGCCAGCCUCUCCGCCGCCGCCACCGCCACCUCCUCCCGCUCCGCGUUUUUCCCCCGCCUCGCCCGCCGCCACCUUUCGUCGCCCCUCCGCGUGCCGGUCCGCGCCGUCGAGUCGUCUUCGGAGGCCACCAAGCAGGAGGAGGCGCCUCUGGCCGCGGGCGAGGCCCAGGAGCCGCUGCCCGCGGCGCCCGCGUUCGUGGUGGAGGAGCUCGGCUGGGGCACCCAGCUCGCGGUCAAGCUCAAGAUGCUCGUCGCCCCGCCGUGGAAGCGCGUCCGCAAGGGCAGCGUCCUCACCAUGACGCUCCGGGGCGAGAUAUCCGAUCAGUUGAAGACGCGCUUCUCGUCAGGGCUCUCACUGCCGCAAAUCUGCGAGAAUUUCGAGAAGGCGGCAUAUGACCCACGGAUAUCAGGGAUUUACCUGCACAUAGAGCCGCUGAGCUGUGGAUGGGGAAAGGCGGAGGAGAUCAGAAGGCACAUUGUGGAUUUCAAGAAAUCUGGUAAAUUUGUUGUCGGUUACAUGCCCGUCGGAGGGGAGAAAGAAUACUACCUUGCUAGUGCAUGUGCUGAGCUGUAUGCACCGCCAAGUGCUUAUGUUGCUUUGUAUGGUCUAACCAUUCAGCAGACAUUUCUCAGAGGUGUGCUUGAGAAAGUUGGAGUACAGCCAGAAAUUCAACGAAUUGGUCGCUACAAAAGUGCUGGAGACCAACUUGGGCGGAAGAGCAUGUCAAAUGAAGUUAAGGAGAUGCUGGGUGCACUGCUUGAUAAUAUCUAUGGAAACUGGCUAGAUACAGUGUCUUCCACACAUGGGAAGAAAAAAGAAGAAAUUGAGGAAUUUGUCAACUCAGGAGUCUAUCAGGUCGAGAGACUUAAGAAAGAAGGUUGGAUAACAGAUCUAUUGUAUGAUGAUCAGGUAAUGACAAUGCUGAAAGAGAGAGUAGGACAGAAUGACAAGAAAAGCCUGCGUAUGGUUGACUACAGUAAAUAUUCACGUGUAAGAAAAUCAACUCUUGGGAUAGGAGGAGGAGGAGACUUAAUUGCAGUAAUCAGAGCAUCUGGAAGCAUAACACGAACUCGCAGUGGCCUGAGUGUUUCUAGUUCGGGCAUUAUUGCCGAGCAGUUAAUCAAGAAGAUACGUACUGUUAGAGAGUCAGAAAAGUAUAAAGCUGUUAUCCUCCGUAUAGACAGCCCUGGUGGUGAUGCUCUUGCUUCUGAUCUGAUGUGGAGGGAAAUUCGACUCCUGGCUGAGUCCAAGCCUGUGGUAGCUUCCAUGUCUGAUGUUGCUGCAAGUGGUGGAUACUACAUGGCAAUGGCUGCGCCAGUUAUUGUUGCUGAGAAACUUACUCUAACAGGAUCAAUUGGAGUUAUUACAGGAAAAUUUAUCCUUCAAAAGCUGUAUGAGAGGAUUGACUUCAACAAAGAAAUUCUAUCUAGGGGUAGAUAUGCAGAGCUUAAUGCCGCUGAUCAACGCCCUUUAAGACCAGACGAGGCAGAACUUUUUGAGAAGUCGGCGCAAAAUGCUUACGCAUCGUUUCGAGAUAAAGCAGCCAUGUCACGCUCAAUGAGUAUUGACCAGAUGGAGACUGUUGCACAAGGUCGAGUUUGGAGCGGCCAAGAUGCAGCUUCAAGAGGGUUGGUUGAUUCGCUAGGUGGAUUCUCACAAGCGCUUGCUAUUGCAAAACAGAGAGCUAAGAUACCACAGGAUAAGAAGGUCCGACUAGUUGAGAUCUCGAAGGCCUCGCCGACGCUACCGGAGAUCUUGUCAGGCAUCGGGGGUUCAGUGCUUGGAGUUGACAGGGUCGUGAAGGGGGUGCUGCAGGACGUCACCUCCUUAAAUGGAGUCCAAGCUAGAAUGGAUGGCAUCUUGUUUGAAAGACUGGAAAACAUGCCAGGAGAAAAUCAGCUCUUCUUGCUCGUAAAGGAAAUCACAAAUUAUUUCGGUUGA